GCUGGGUGUGCAGUGUAUACCUGUAAUCCCAGCAUCUUGGUAGGUUAAGAGGGGGGGAUCACUUGGGCCAAGGAGUUCAAGGUCAGCCUGGACAACACAGUGAGACCCUAUCUCAA
This 116-nucleotide small RNA is filed under the name Marmota monax (woodchuck). The record is from RNAcentral. Lineage: Eukaryota; Metazoa; Chordata; Mammalia; Rodentia; Sciuridae.